Molecule: ribosomal RNA, 744 nt
Filed under: uncultured bacterium
Lineage: Bacteria
Description: bacterial SSU rRNA
Rfam family: Bacterial small subunit ribosomal RNA
Source: RNAcentral
AGAGUUUGAUCAUGGCUCAGAACGAACGCUGGCGGCAGGCUUAACACAUGCAAGUCGAACGCGUGUAGCAAUACACGAGUGGCGCACGGGUGAGUAACACGUGGAUAUCUGCCUUUUGGUUCGGAAUAACCCUGGGAAACUAGGGCUAAUACCGGAUGGUUCCUACGGGAUAAAGAUUUAUCGCCAAAAGAUGAGUCCGCGUCCGAUUAGCUAGUUGGUGAGGUAAUGGCUCACCAAGGCGACGAUCGGUAGCUGGUCUGAGAGGACGAUCAGCCACACUGGGACUGAGACACGGCCCAGACUCCUACGGGAGGCAGCAGUGGGGAAUAUUGGACAAUGGGGGCAACCCUGAUCCAGCCAUGCCGCGUGAGUGAUGAAGGCCUUCGGGUUGUAAAGCUCUUUUGGCGGGGACGAUGAUGACGGUACCCGCAGAAUAAGCCCCGGCUAACUUCGUGCCAGCAGCCGCGGUAAGACGAAGGGGGCUAGCGUUGUUCGGAAUUACUGGGCGUAAAGCGCGUGUAGGCGGUUGCCAAAGUCGGGUGUGAAAGCCUUGAGCUCAACUCAAGAAAUGCACUCGAUACUUGGUGACUAGAGGACCGGAGAGGAUAGUGGAAUUCCCAGUGUAGUGGUGAAAUACGUAGAGAUUGGGAAGAACACCAGUGGCGAAGGCGGCUAUCUGGACGGUUUCUGACGCUAAGACGCGAAAGCGUGGGGAGCAAACAGGAUUAGAUACCCUAGUAGUCC